UACGGAGGGUGCGAGCGUUGUCCGGAAUCACUGGGCGUAAAGGGUGCGUAGGCGGCAGGCCAAGCGUGCGGUGAAAGUCCGGGGCUCAACCCCGGAUCUGCCGUGCGGACUGGUUUGCUAGAGCACUGUAGGGGCGAGUGGAAUUCCGGGUGUAGCGGUGGAAUGCGUAGAGAUCCGGAAGAACACCGGUGGCGAAGGCGGCUCGCUGGGCAGUGGCUGACGCUGAGGCGCGACAGCGUGGGGAGCAAACAGG
This 253-nucleotide ribosomal RNA is filed under the name uncultured bacterium. Its description in RNAcentral is "partial 16S ribosomal RNA". It matches the Rfam family "Bacterial small subunit ribosomal RNA", at positions 524 to 776 of the family's 1533-position model. The record is from RNAcentral.